GAAGGCGGCCUUCUGGACUGACACUGACACUGAGGUGCGAAAGCGUGGGUAGCAAACAGGAUUAGAUACCCUGGUAGUCCACGCCGUAAACGAUGUCGACCAGCCGUUGGGUGCCUAGCGCACUUUGUGGCGAAGUUAACGCGAUAAGUCGACCGCCUGGGGAGUACGGCCGCAAGGUUAAAACUCAAAUGAAUUGACGGGGGCCCGCACAAGCGGUGGAGCAUGUGGUUUAAUUCGAUGCAACGCGAAGAACCUUACCUACUCUUGACAUCCUGCGAACUUGUGAGAGAUCACUUGGUGCCUUCGGGAGCGCAGAGACAGGUGCUGCAUGGCUGUCGUCAGCUCGUGUUGUGAAAUGUUGGGUUAAGUCCCGUAACGAGCGCAACCCUUGUCCUUAUUUGCCAGCGGGUAAUGCCGGGAACUCUAAGGAGACUGCCGGUGACAAACCGGAGGAAGGUGGGGACGACGUCAAGUCAUCAUGGCCCUUACGAGUAGGGCUACACACGUGCUACAAUGGCCGGUACAAAGGGUUGCGAGCUCGCGAGAGUCAGCUAAUCCCGAAAAGCCGGUCUCAGUCCGGAUCGGAGUCUGCAACUCGACUCCGUGAAGUCGGAAUCGCUAGUAAUCGUGAAUCAGAAUGUCACGGUGAAUACGUUCCCGGGCCUUGCACACACCGCCCGU
RNAcentral lists this ribosomal RNA (681 nucleotides) under uncultured bacterium. RNAcentral describes it as "bacterial SSU rRNA". It matches the Rfam family "Bacterial small subunit ribosomal RNA", at positions 717 to 1397 of the family's 1533-position model. The record is from RNAcentral.